AGUUGGGAUUUUUGUUAUUUUGGGUUAUAAGAACGAGAUCAAAGUGUGGUUUAUAUUGUUUUCGUUUCACCAUUUGAUGUGAAAUGGUAGAUCAAGUGUACAAUUGUGCUUGCAUUAGUUAUUAUCUCUAAUUUUUAUGUUACAAACCCAUCUUAUGGGAAUUGGUUUUCUCGAUGCCUUUAUUUACUUGCCAAUUUGUCUGAAACCCUAGCUCCAUCAUCAGAAAGGAAGUUCAAGAAGAUGAAGACCUUCAAUUAUCAAUGGCAGUUGCUCUACUCUUCUUCUCCUUCCUUCUCAGGGUUUAUCCUGCUAUAAUAUAAACGAGGUUGAUUCAUUUUGGCCUACAUUAUCGUCUUGAGUCUCUUGACUUUAAUCGUCUUUACCACUGUCGGACUGGAUUCUGAUAACCAGUAGUCAUUGUCGAAGAACAAGGGCACCAAUUGAGGCCGACUUUGUAUCACCUCUGCCAAGAGUAUUAACGUUCACCACACAUGUCUCACCAGUUGAUGUCGGCGCCAUCUUGUGUUUGUUUGUAACUAGCAAUUGACCGCUUCUUCAAGAGCUUGCCAAGCACGGGGGCUAUCAACUACUUAUAACUAACUGAGCGAAUUAUUUGUAUGUCUUCGGAAACUUUUGGGAAAAUCACAUACCAGGUUCUAGCAAAUGAUUGAGUGCAGUUUGUGUAUUUGUUCUACAAUCUGAUUACAAAAAACUUUCCAAUACCAUGACCAUCAGUUCUUAAAUUUUCAUAAUUCUAAUGUUGUUGAUAUUAAAGUAUAUUGAUAUAUUCUCACAUUUCUGGUGCAGGCCUGCCAUUGAGAUUGCUAAUGAAUUGAAUUCUCUAUACUUACUUGCUAACUAUAUUGAGGUUAAUUUUUUCGGUUGUUACUUUGCCUAUUAUUUUGUAGAUAUAUGUUGAGUUCAACAUUUAUAUUUAGGAUUUGUAGUCUCUGCAUUUAAAAUACAAAUGUAAUGUUCCUCUGGUGUUGAUGAAUCAUGUAAGUACACAAAAUGAGCCAACCAUGGUCAGGUAUCUUUCAUGUGAAGUUAAACAUUACACAUUUAUCUUUAUUUUGUUGCAGGCGCUAAUUGAUUAUAUUAAAAGUGACUUUGACAUCAAUGUUCACUGAGAACAUUACACACGCUGAACGGGUUCGGGUCAGUUUCAGGUUGAACCCGCGAACCCGUUUAGGUUAACGAGUCGGGUUCGGGUCAACCUGGUCGGGUUAGCGGGUUGACCCGUUUAACACAUUUAUAUUAUAUUUUUUUACAAUAUGUUUUGUGUCAUAAAUUAAAUUAAAUGGGGUAUGUUUUUAUUCCAUAAUU
This 1326-nucleotide long non-coding RNA is filed under the name Helianthus annuus (common sunflower). RNAcentral's name for it is "hypothetical non coding rna". The record is from RNAcentral. Lineage: Eukaryota; Viridiplantae; Streptophyta; Magnoliopsida; Asterales; Asteraceae.